This is a long non-coding RNA of Tupaia belangeri chinensis (Chinese tree shrew), 757 nucleotides long. RefSeq lists it as uncharacterized. The record is from RefSeq and is a predicted model, not a curated record. NCBI's taxonomy places the organism in Eukaryota, Metazoa, Chordata, Mammalia, Scandentia, Tupaiidae. The transcript is spliced from 4 exons.
CGCAGCGCCUUGUGGGAAAUGUAGUCUCUGCUCCAAUGACGUCAUCAGCACAGGCCGAGGAGGGCGGCUUUUUCAGAUUCUCUCUCCGCCUGUGGCGCUCAGUUCCUUCCCCCUGGUCGCUGGGGAGAACCUGCCGCUCUGCUGACCGUGCUCUGCCGGAACAUGCUCUCCAUGACGAAUGGACAAAAUUUGGAUAAUCCUACCUUCUCCUGAAUGCUGGAUGCUGCUCAGAGAUAAAUUUUAGAAUGUUUGGUCUCUUUUUCCAUGAAAAGAAAACUACUGGAAUUUUGAUGGAAUAUUUGUAUCAGUGACAGAGAUAACCCUUCAUUUUGAUGAAUUUUGAAAAAGUGGUCAUCUUUGUAAAGCUAUAAUUUUAGAAACCUCUGUAUUUGUCCAGGAUUAAGAAAAUGAAUUCGUUUUCGGUAAGUUGUUUACUGAUUUCCCCAAGUGUUUUACAUUGUACUUAGGAAUUUUAUGAGGGUUUGUACACUAAAAAGGAAUGAGUAAAAUGAAAUGAAAUUCAGCAUAAGAAACGCAUAAAAAUGCAAGAUAAAAUUGACAGGGUGAAAUAGGCAGGUUAUAAGACCUUAGAGCCCUGUGAGAUAAGUACAAAUUGGUCUCUAGCUUUCUUAUAUCAUGGGAAAAACACAUUUAUUACAUGGUUUGAAUUGACUUUAAGGGGAGAGCAUGCUAAAUUCUCAAGGGAUAUGAAUCAUGAGAUAGUCAUUACUGGUCACAUAGAUGACAUGGUACACAG